This 332-nucleotide ribosomal RNA is filed under the name uncultured eukaryote. Its description in RNAcentral is "partial 18S ribosomal RNA". It matches the Rfam family "Eukaryotic small subunit ribosomal RNA", at positions 1470 to 1796 of the family's 1831-position model. The record is from RNAcentral.
CCCUUAGAUGUUCUGGGCUGCACCCGUGCUACACUGGCAGGUUCAGCGAGCUUCAUGCCCUGAUCUGAAAGGAAUGGGAAAUCUUUUCAAAACCUGCCGUGCUUGGGAUAGAUGUUUGCAAUUAUUCAUCUUCAACGAGGAUUGCCUUGUAAGCGCACGUCAUCAGCGCGCAUUGAAUACGACCCUGUAUUCUGUACACACCGCCCGUCGCUCCUACCGAUUGAAGUUUUCGGUGAGUUGACAGGAGGAUUUUUUUGAAACUGGUUCGCCAGUGGAUUUUAGAUCCAAAUGCCAACGAAUCGAUGGCUUUAGAGGAAGGAGAAGUCGUAACA